CUCUUUAUCUGCUUUAAUGUUAAAAAUAUUUUUCAGUUUGUCAUGUAUCUUUACAAUUUAGAGUGGAAUUUUCCCUGUGUAUACAUUUUUUGUGUAGCUACCAAACAGUGUUCUCCAAGAUUCUGUGUUAGACCUUUUUAUCACUCUACAUACCUCCCUCAGUGAUCUCAUCUAAUCCCAUAGUUUAAACUACCAUCUAUAAUAGGUCAACUAGUAAAUCUAUAGACAACAAGCAAACCAGACCUUUCCUCUACAUUCCAGACUUCUAAAUCAAAAAUCCAAUCCUAAUAUCCAAUUAGCUUUAUUUUUUUUUUAAAGAUUUUAUUUUUUCCCUUUUUCUCCCCAAAGCCCCCCAGUACAUAGUUGCAUAUUCUUUGUUGUGGGUCGUUCUAGUUGUGGCAUGUGGGAUGCCGCCUCAGCGUGUCCUGACGAGCAGUGCCAUGUCCACACCCAGGAUUCGAAGCAACAAAACACUGGGCCGCCUGCAGCAGAGCACACGAACUUAACCACUCAGCCACGGGGCCAGCCCCUCCAAUUAGCUUUAAAGUGAGGAUGGGAGGAUGUACUUAGCCCAUAGGCAUCUCAAAAUCAACAUUGCACAUAUCAAAAUUCAUCAAACUUGUUCUGUUUUCCCUAUCUCAGAAAAUGGUACCAACAGCCACUCAGUUGCCCACACCAGAAACCUAGGAGUCAUGCUACAUACCUCCUUCUCUCUCCUCUCCAUAUACAAAGGCUCCUAACCUCUUUAGUUUUACCUUUCAACUUUCUCCAUCCUUACUUACUCUGCUCUAGCCAUGUGGGAAUUGAAUUUACUGGUCCCUCCUGCUCAGGACAUUAACAUAUGCUCUUCCUUUGCCUAGAAUGUUCUUCCUUUCUUUUUGGCCUAGCUAAUUCCUAAACCUCAGCUUAACUGUCACACCUUAGGAAGGCUUUACGUAAAUCCCUACUGUUAGGUCCCCAUGGUGUAUGCUUUCAUGGCAUCCUUUAUUUUUCUGUUAUAGUAAUUAUCAUAGUUGUAACUUGUAGAUUAAUAAUUUAAUCUUUGUUUCUCUCACUAACUACACUCUAAAGGGAGGAACAGUGGCUGUUCGUUCACCCCUAUAUGCUCAGUACCUUGCACAUGACACAGAGUAGGUGCUAAAUAGUUACCAGGGAAUACUUACAUAUUAAUACAGAAUAAAUAAAUCCAAUCUCUGUUAUACUUCAUUUCACCCCAUUUCUACGUCUUUAGUUCAAGUACUCUCUAUUUCUUGCCUGGAUACUACAAUAGCCUCUGAAGGACGCUCUACCACCGCUCUUGCAUUUUCUAAUCUGUUCUCCAGUACCCUUGUUAAAGUGAAGUUCUAAAAUAUAAAUCUGAUCAUAUUACUCAUUAGGUUAAGAUUUUUCAAUUGCAUCAAUUUAAAGGUGACAUGACAAUAUAAACCCUUUAUGGUUGAACCUCUAUCCACUGGAUCAGGUCAACCUUUCUCAACUCUUCUAAAGGCACCUAGGCAACAAACCACAGAAAGUACCUGAAUUUUCUUGAACAUGCCAGGUUGUUUCUGACUUCUCUGUUUUCUUACACUCCAGUACGUCUGCCUAAAAUGUUUUCUAUGGCCUAUUUCUACUGUCUCUUACACUGGGAUAACUCCAGUCCUUUAAGGCUCCACCAAGAUAUCCUUCAAGACAGCUCCACCAAAGUAUUCUUCAAGACACAACUCAAGAGUCACCUCCUCCUGAAAAGCUUUCCUGAAAACCUAUUCCUAACCAGGGUUAAAUAUUCUUCCUCUAUAUUUAUCAAAUUAUAAUUUUUAAAGAAUUUAUCUUUCUUCCAUUAGACUUUCAGCUCCUUGCUAACAGGGACUACAUGUUUUUCAUCUCUGUAUAUCAAAUUCUGGUAUGGACUUUGGUAAAUGUUUGAUUAAAUCUGUGUACCAGUACACAUCAAAUCCAUCAAAACAUACCUACCUUUUGGGAACUGGUAUUCCCACUUCUGGGAAAUCUUCCAAUAAAUAAGCAAAUAAAGUCAAUUAGGAAAGGUAUAUGCAUAAAAAUGUUCACUUCCCAAUUAUUUAUAAUAGCAACAAAUUGGAAACAACCUAAAUGUCCAGCAGAAGAAUGAUAGAAUCUGUUAAAUGAUAUGUAGCAGAGUAAUUUAGAAUAAAGAUUGUAAAAAUGAUAUAGUAACUCAGAUGCUUAUGACAUGUUAAUUGGAAAAAGACAAAACUGUUUCACACUAUGAACCUAUAAAAUUGUAUGUACCGACAUUGACUAGAAGGGAACAUGAAAACUGUAUGAGUUCUUUGUGUGGAUUAUGAUUUCAUUGCCUUUAUUCAGAACUUUAUAAAUGUUGCUAUGAUAUCUUCUCAAUUAUGAAAAUAAUUUAAAAUUUAAACCCAUGUAAUUAAUAUCUAUGUAUAUAUUUGUGUAUGCAUAUUUCUACAUAUGUAUAUAUGUAUAUGUUUCCUAGCUCUGUCUCCUGAAAGGCCCAAGAAACAGAAACACCUCAGUAGCAAUGAGCAUAUCUCGCCUUAGUAUCUAAUACCAUUCUCCACCAACAGGAAAUGGGGGUCCUUAGAGAAGAGGCUAAUGCCAGGGCUGGAGCAGGGUAAGGACAAGAUAAACGUGGAACCUCUUAUUAGACCAGAAAGUAAGGAAGUAUUAAAAAAAAAUGAUGUAGGCAUAUCACAAAGACAUGGGAUCCACACUAAAGGUGCUCCCACUCGCUGAAUCUGGGACACCAAAAUAAUUAAAUACAGACUUAAAUAUUUAGAGGUAAAAGGUCAUGGUGUAUAUAACUUACCUUCAAGUGGUUCAGAAAAAAAAGUGUACAAAAUAUACACAUAUAGAUAGAAAGAACACAUGACAACAAAGCUAAUACAGAAAUGGAAAAACACAGGAAUUCAUAAGUUAAUGCAGAUAAUAAAUAGAUAAAUAGGGGAGAAGAGAGCUCUUAUGUUUGCAGUAGGAUGCUGUGGGCUGACUAUGCCUCCUAUGGAGAGGGUACUAGCUUUGUUGAAUCGUUGUGCAGCCAUCAUAGUAAAAUUCUAUCAGCCAUAAUGGAUGCUAAAUUUAAACUGGAAUUUAAAUAAUUUAAAAUCGAAUGAAGCUCAAGAUAUAUCUUCAAAUUUCCCCACAAAUUGCUUAUUAAUUGCCAGGAAGAAAAAACCCAGUAACUAUACAGUGGAAAAUUCAGGCCACAUUUGGACCAGGUGAUCAAAAUUAACAUCAUCCGUGAGAGACAGAUGGGUAUCAUAUGCUUCCAGAAGUGAUACCCAGAGAAGGACACAAUAUCACCUGUGCAGUAGUCCAGUUGAGAAUGCAUAAUGUCAGUUUAAUCAUGAGGAAACAUCACACAAAAACAAAACAAGGAACAUUCUAUUAAAAAGGAGAGUUGGGGGAGAAGCUGUAUUCUUAAAAAAUGUUAAGGUCAGAAAAGAUAAAGAAAGGUUGUGGAAAUGUUCCAAAGUAAAGGAAGCCUAAGAGUCAUAACAACUAAAUGUAGUACCUGACCCCAGACUGGCUCCUGUACUGGAGGGGAAAAUGCUAGAAGGAUCAACCUACAAAAUUGGAAUAUGGAUGGUAGACUGAAGUAUUAUUUUUAUGUAAAUUUACGAAGUUGAUAGGAAAUACACUCUCAAGUAUUUAGGGGUGAAGGGCCAGGAUGUAUGUAACUCAACUUCAAAUGCUUCAGAAAAAAAAUGUAUAUAAAUUUACAUAAAUGUGGAGAGAGACCUUGCUCAAGAACAAGCAAACGAUAUGGCUGUUCUUUGAAUUAUUUUUAUUUUUGCAACUUUUUGUAAAUUUGAAAUUAUUUCCAAGUAAAAGGUUUUUUAAAAUUAAGUCCACCUCACAGAAACAAGACCAAGAAGAAAAUGAAAGAUACUUUAAAACCCAUCUAAGCAAAUUGUUUUUAAAACAUUCACCAGUGUAUUCUAAGUUUUCAAGUUACUGUUCAAAAUGUUUUCUUCUUUAAGAGUCUUCAUUCUUUCUUAAAAGAUGAACAGACUAUAGCUUUCACAGUUUUAUCUAAAUAAGUUAAUAUGUUGAAGCCAACAUUCCAUCAGUUGUAGCUUACUCAUUAGAAACAGCAGGAGGGAAAAAAAGCAUUGAAAUUACAAGACCUCUGUUCUCCACACUACCCAUAUUUACCAUUCGUUUGCUGGUGAUUGCAUUCCAGUCUCCAAGUGAAACCUCAGAUUUUAAAUUAUGACUUCAGUUCUGCCCUAAUGACAAGUAAAGAAGAGUAUGCAGAGACACAAACUGGGUGUGUGGACAGGGCUGGGAAGAGGAAUGAUUAACUCUUCACUGUACUGAAAAUGAAAGAAAGCAAGCUGCAAAACUUCUGCCCUAAUUGAGCACAAUACCUAAAUAAUUGAGUUCUUUCUUCUCGUACAGUACAUGGUCACAUGGAAUAUAAAGUUGGGGGGAGGUAUUCUUACCAGUUUUUAACCUGUGAAUUUGAUGAUCUGAAGUAAAAGUGCUCUUUUUCUUUUUUUUUUUUCUUUAAAAUUCAACUCAGUAUUGUGCACCCCCUUGUGGUCAAACAUAAAAUUCUUCAUUUUCAAAACACCAUUUUUCCAGUCGGGCUUUUUGUUAAGGCAUAGGAACCGUGUUAGUUGAUUUCGUGUUCUCCCAUUUUAGUGAAUCAAGAAGCUUUAACGAAGGGGUUUUUGUUUAUUAAAUAGGAUUUUAAACAAAACAGGACUUAAAUCUUCUAAAAGUGACCUCCAUAUAAACUUUAGUCUGUGCAAAAUAGAAAAUAAUUGCACCCACCUCGUGAGUUAUUAUGAGGAUUCAAGGGGAAAAUGCAUAUACAUGCUUAGCUGACACAUAGUAGGUACUCAAUAAAUGUUAUUAUUUGUCAACAACAUCAUCAUCACUUUAGAAUUCUCUUGACAGAAUACAUCUAAAAGGAGGUUAGAUCAAAAAUUCACCCAUUCAUGAAGUUCUAGUACAAUCUUGCAAAUAAGUUCCCCAAAUAUACCACUUAUCCAGAAUUCCCCUAUCCAAUUCUCCCCAUAGGUAUAUUUUUUAAGUACAAAGAAUAGGUGUUUAUCUCUGGAUGGCAGAAAUUUAGAUGGUUUUUACUUUAUCUAUUUUUGAUGGGCCUGAUUUUCUCCCUUAUUUUCCUUUAACUUUACCAAUCGGAAAAGGCAAUAAAACUAUUCCAUUUCCAUAUGUUACUCUUAUGAAAUAGUAAAACAAAUUAACAUCCUUAUUCAUCUGACAGAAAUUGUUACUCAUAUCUGGCAAAAAUAAUUUGUCAGGCUGACUUAUUUUAAGAAGCUCUUGAACACAAAUGCUAACUCCUAAUGGCACUAACUGUAGUUUGAUUUUUAAAACACUUCUCAAGAAGCCAUUUUAAAAGAUCAGUGUUAAUGACUGACUCAUAACAAUAGCUAACAUUUACUAACAUACCAACCGCUGUUCAAAUGUCUUUAAUAUAUUAGCUCAUUUACAUUCUUACAACAACCCAAUGAGGUAACUAGCAUUACUCCUUUUACAAAAGAUCAAAAUGAGAAAAAGUAACUCAUGUAGGGUCACAAAGCUAGUAAGUAGCAGAGCUGAGAUCCAAACCCAAGCAUUUUGGGUCCAGAGGCCACUCACUUACCCAGUGCACAAAAGUGUCAUAGAGAUGUAAACCAAGCAUACUACUCUGCUGUGUUAAUUCAUGAUGAUCUCAAAUUACGAAAAUCCAUUUCUUUUCCAAUUGUACCUCAAUAAUGCAAAUCACACUAGCCUUCUCCCAUUUCCUUACUUAGUACUUCAGGCACUUCCUAUAUGCAUUGUCUUAUUUAACCCUCUCAAUGAUAUACAUCUUUGUAUAUUCAAACAGUUAUGGUUCAUCACAAGUUGUUUUGCAGCAAAAACUGGAAAAAACAUAGCAACACCCCAGAUUUUAAACUGCUGUAUUAUUUAGAAAAUUCGUUACAACUUGGGAUCAGAAAAAAAGUAACCAGUCAAAAAUAAUCUUAAAAUGGAAUCAUUUAGGAUCUAUGGCAGUUUUGGUUUCUUUUAAAAUUUUCAUCUUAACUAGCUUGGUGGCAAGUAGGAUAAAUCUCCCAAGUAAAUAAAUGGUUAAAAGAGGUUUUUAAGGAAGGUGUUAAAAUAGUGACAACUUAUCAUCAUUUAUUGUCCUAUCAUAGCACCCAGUUUUUGAAGGUGGACACAGAUUUGUCUAGGUCUUGUGCUUCUACUUACUAAUUCUAAGACUGUGGGGCAAGUUUCUUAAUCUGAGUCUCGGGUGGCCUCAUGUGUAAAAUGAGGAUAAAACUUACUUCAUAGGGCUGUUGUGAGUAAUAACCACGAUCAAUCUGUAAAGCGUUUAUUUAGCACAGUGCCCAGGCCAGAGUACGGUCAGUACGUGGUCUCUAGCUACUACUUUAUCAAUGCAUGUCACAGCAGAAACCUGUCUUUGCUAGAUUCAGCUCCCUUACCACCCAUUUUUUUAAAAAAUCACCCUAAGUAACAUCCAAAGACUGUCCAUUCACCCAUUCACCUCUCCAAAACUGAGCAGAAUGCUUAAGAACCAAUAACAAGUAAGAUAGUGAGAGAAACUGGAUUCGAUGGAAGCGCCUUCGCAACAGGCAGCCUAGAACCGGGAAGAAGGGCUCCACACUCUUUAAGUAAUCCUUAACUCCAGGCUGCGCGCACGCACACACACACACACACACACACGGUUGUUGAGCAGGGGAAACCACGCCUCCUGUGUGUGCUCAGGUUGGAUCCCACAGCAAGGUAGAGAAAGGCCUGCGCUCAGAAUCUGACAGAUGCGGACUUAACCACGUGCUUGCUAUCUGUGCUACCUUAGGCAAAUUACUUAAAGUCUCUGAACCUUGGUUUCCUGGUCUGCAAACCGAGAAUAAUAAUAGUACCUACCUCAUCAAGUUGUUCUGAGGCUUAAGUGCGAUAGCUCCUGUAAAGCGUUGACGUACAGCAAGAGCUCUGCACACAGGCGGGGCUGUUUUAAGUACACGUGUAUCCACACUCAUAGUCUCAGAGACACAUUCCGUCGUUAGGAGUUUAGACACUGGCAAUAAGACGAUUUUCUUUUCGCCUAAGCUGCACCCUUAUUUGUUUCCCUCGAACAGUAAAUGCAUGCCUAUCGACUGAUAUGUCAUCUGUGGACCCUAGGGCCCGCAGUCCUCGUGGUCCCUCCACCUCCGCGGCUGAGCAAAGGAGCUGAACGCACGCGCAAGAAAAGAAACAGGACUGCGACGGAGGAAGCGAAGGGAGAGCGGCGAACAGCGAUGAUUCUGCGCAUGUUCAAGGCGCGGGGGUUGGGGUAGGAGUUUGCGCAUGAGCAGAAGCGUCGGGAAAGGAAGAGAAGGGGGGUUAGGAGGCGGUAUUGACAGCUGUGGAGGCAGCCCGCGUUCCCGGCAUGCCCUGGGGCGGCGGGGUUGGCUCUAACGAAUUUGAAUGAGGAGCCUCAGCGCUUUCGGCGCCAUUUUCGAGUGAUGCCUGAUCUCAUCAAUCUAGCGGGAGAGACGGGAUAACCUGUCCGAGAGUAUAGCGCCGCUAGGACUCCGCCGAAAAAUCACUAAAAAAAUCGCCAAAAAUUACUUGAAGCAAAGGGCAGUCCGCAGAGCUUCGCCAGGGUUGGCGCAGUCGUUUCCACCAAUUCUUACUCGACAACUCUUCGAUGAUUUGAGCCAGUGACGGCUUUAACUCGAAGUAAUAUUUUAUAGAUAAUGGCCUCUGUAAAACUUCCUUAUUAAAGAAUAUGUUGGAUCUUGAAUCCCUUUCUGCG
Molecule: long non-coding RNA, 7735 nt
Filed under: Equus caballus (horse)
Lineage: Eukaryota; Metazoa; Chordata; Mammalia; Perissodactyla; Equidae
Description: lncRNA (ENSECAG00000047892.1)
Source: RNAcentral